AGAACGAACGCUGGCGGCAUGCCUAAUACAUGCAAGUCGAACGAACACUUCGGUGUUAGUGGCGCACGGGUGCGUAACGCGUGGGAAUCUGCCCUUGGGUUCGGAAUAACAGUUGGAAACGACUGCUAAUACCGGAUGAUAUCGAAAGAUCAAAGAUUUAUCGCCCAGGGAUGAGCCCGCGUAGGAUUAGCUAGUUGGUGAGGUAAAGGCUCACCAAGGCGACGAUCCUUAGCUGGUCUGAGAGGAUGAUCAGCCACACUGGGACUGAGACACGGCCCAGACUCCGUACGGGAG
Molecule: ribosomal RNA, 294 nt
Filed under: uncultured soil bacterium
Lineage: Bacteria
Description: partial 16S ribosomal RNA
Rfam family: Bacterial small subunit ribosomal RNA
Source: RNAcentral